RNAcentral lists this ribosomal RNA (253 nucleotides) under uncultured bacterium. Its description in RNAcentral is "partial 16S ribosomal RNA". It matches the Rfam family "Bacterial small subunit ribosomal RNA", at positions 524 to 776 of the family's 1533-position model. The record is from RNAcentral.
UACGUAGGGGGCGAGCGUUGUCCGGAAUCAUUGGGCGUAAAGCGCGUGUAGGCGGUUUGAUAAGUCUGCUGUGAAAGUCCAGGGCUCAACCCUGGGAUGCCGGUGGAUACUGUCGGACUAGAGUACGGAAGAGGCGAGUGGAAUUCCCGGUGUAGCGGUGAAAUGCGCAGAUAUCGGGAGGAACACCAAUUGCGAAGGCAGCUCGCUGGGACGUUACUGACGCUGAGACGCGAAAGCGUGGGGAGCAAACAGG